Molecule: ribosomal RNA, 496 nt
Filed under: uncultured bacterium
Lineage: Bacteria
Description: partial 16S ribosomal RNA
Rfam family: Bacterial small subunit ribosomal RNA
Source: RNAcentral
GAUGAACGCUGGCGGCGUGCCUAAUACAUGCAAGUCGAGCGAACAGAUGAGGAGCUUGCUCCUCUGACGUUAGCGGCGGACGGGUGAGUAACACGUGGAUAACCUACCUAUAAGACUGGGAUAACUUCGGGAAACCGGAGCUAAUACCGGAUAAUAUAUUGAACCGCAUGGUUCAAUAGUGAAAGACGGUUUUGCUGUCACUUAUAGAUGGAUCCGCGCCGCAUUAGCUAGUUGGUAAGGUAACGGCUUACCAAGGCAACGAUGCGUAGCCGACCUGAGAGGGGGUGGGCCCCCACUGGAACUGAGAAAGGGCCCAAGCCCCAAGGGGGGGCGGAAGGGGGGAAUUUGCCGGAAGGGGGGAAAGCCUGGGGGGGAAACGCGCCGGGGGGGGUAAAGGGUCUGGGGUGGUAAAACUUUUUUUUUGGGGAAAAAAAAAUGUGUAAGUAACUAGGCCCGUCUGACGGGACCCGAAUAAGAAGCCCCGGGCAAACUAGGG